Synchiropus splendidus (mandarinfish) is the source of this 72-nucleotide small nucleolar RNA. RefSeq annotates it as small nucleolar RNA SNORD49. The record is from RefSeq and is a predicted model, not a curated record. Lineage: Eukaryota; Metazoa; Chordata; Actinopteri; Syngnathiformes; Callionymidae. The transcript has a single exon.
AUCUGUGAUUAGAACUGCUGCAAUAGGAAGUGCCGUCUGAUGCGAGAACUGACGAUUGCAACACAGCUGAGA